AACGCCCUUUGGUAAGUCGAAAUUUUGGCUCGAUAAGCAGAGGUAAAGGAUUGUGUUCGUCCGGAUUGAAAUCCGAGAUGAAACGAAUCUAUUCAUAAACACUGAAAGAUCCUUGGAGGAAAGUGAAAGCACGAGACUUGACAGAAAGUGAUGACAGAUGCUUUUGCUUUCGACCAGGGGGCAUACCACAUGUCAAAGUAUUUCCUGUCGGCACGACAAAGUAAGCGCAAAGUUCGCCUUUUGAUAGUUAAAAAUAGACAUAGAACAAAUGAAACAUAAACAGCAAGCCCCUGUCAUUCCACAGUCGACUGCCCAUGGAUAAUGAUAAGUUGUUAUGAUCUUUCUGAGAAGGAAAUGUCACUUAGAAUUCGUAGUUUGUCUUUUCUUUCCUUUUAUCUUUCUGAUUUUGCCAUUUUCAUUUUCUUCUCUGUCACCUAAAGGCUGGUUUUUACUUGGGUUUGUGAAUAAGCAUAAGCUGACAUAUUUUGUGCUCAACUUGUGAAAAACAGCCUUGAUGCCACCGACAGUAUGGUGCUGUUUUGAAUUAAAGGUCCUAAUGAUUCGACUGCCGAUUCCUUUAAAGAAUCCAAUUUGUAUGUUGAAUGGUUUAAGGUUUCUCAAAUGAAAAGGAGAGAAACUCGACCUUUUUUACCAUUUCCUCUUGGAAUGAGUGUGAAAAUGUGUAUAACUGUAGCAUUUUCCCGCGGUGCUGUGUGAGCUCAUGGGCAGGCCACGUUCCACUUAGACCAUUUUUCUUUCUCUCCUCUGAUUCUUGUUUUGAAUUUCCUUGCUGUGAUGUUUUGUAGCUUUACUUGAGGUGGGAGGUCUUAUCCUCGUGCAAUGUUGUAAAAUUCCCUUACAUAUUCUUUUAUUCGGACAACUCUUCUGGUUGUUGUCUGUCGAAAUGGAAAAUAAAUGAGAUGGUGUUGUUUUCUUUCGCCCGAAGAGAAACUCUCUGUCUGCCUGCUGUUACCUUUGCACCCCGGAUGGCUUGAAAGAGUAUUUUUUUGCAGAUGAUUGAUUCUCUACGUCAAUGUGUUGUACUGUCACAUGAUGCCCACGAAACAAAAAUACGUUAUCCUUUUUUUCUAGGAGAAUAAACAGGAACAUUCUCAUUUCCUAGCGCCGUGCAACGCAGUUACGUAAUAUGAAAAAAAUUUCCUGCAACAAGCAGAUAUUUUUCGUGGAAAUGAAAUAGCCAUUCUGUGUUUUUUUUUCUUUUUGUUUUUCAAUAAUAACCCUCCAACUCAUAAAGACUGCAACCUUAGGGUGAGUGAUGGCUUUAUGAUAGAUAUUAUCUUCAAAGGUGCGUGCGAUCGAUAGUAUUUCUUAAGCGGAAAUUUUCAACGGUCUUCAAGGCUUCAGAAGUAGCUUAAAGUCAGUUUUGCGCAUAUGAUUCAAAAUCGAGACAAAAUAGUCGGCCCCUUGAAUUCACUCCCGACAAAUUCAGUGUUAUGUCUAGCUGAAGCCGGACUGCAGCGAAUAAUUUAGGAGCUUUAAUCAAAGAUAGUGAGCGCCUGUGUUGCCUCAUUUACAUACCAGAUGUGACAUCUGGCAACACCUACUUUCAACUGAAACCUCUGUGUAGUGGCAAGCCGAAAAUUUAAAGAUGGUUCCUUUUUAAGUAUUCUGAUAUAUAUAUAUAUCUGAUAUGGCUGUUUAGGCCGCUUAAAAGUUGCCUUUUUAUAAACGGACAUGAUUUUGAGGCGACUAAUAACGUCUUUUUUGUUUGUUUAUUUUUUCAAUGGAAAUUCAUGCAACAGCGAAUUAUUUGUCAUGUAAACUCGAUUCUUCAGCUGUCUUGUCAGAAACUAUUUCCUAUCGCCGUCUUCAAACCAUUCUGUGUUGCGUUGCGUUUCUACCACGGUCUAUAUGUACUAAAGGGCUUUCACUGUGGCCGACUAAUCGACUGGGGUCCCGGCAGACGAAAGAGCUUCAUGGACGUUAGUCCUAUAGAGACUGUUGAAGUAAAUAAAUUUUGAUAAUUUAAGUCAUUAAACGCUUCCAGCAACUAGCUUCUAACGUGUAGUUCGUUGAAAUUCAACCAAGGAGUAACUUAUACAUGAUGCGUAUGUUUGCAUUUGAUAGGAACGUUUUUGUCCUAUAGUUGAUUGAUACUGCUGUGCUAAUAGAAAUGGUAAUAAAAGGAAUGAGUCGAGUUUCCAAGGUAAUAUGGAGUCAUCAUUAUAAGAAUGUGAUUCUAGCAUCUUCCAACCGGAGUCUUUCUUUUUUGUCACAGCCGACUCCCGUGAGACAAACUUGAAAAGUAUUAAAAGAUGCCUUUUGUGAAAAGUUUUCACCCGAGACGAUAUUCAGGGCGCAAAGAAAAGAAGCGAAAAGUGAGAAAGCAGCUGAGCGGACAGAGUUGUAGCAAACACUAGGUUGCCAAUUGUCAAGUGUGAAAGGGUUGAAUUGGUAAGAACGAUGCUGUUCUUCAAUCAAACGGAGACAACCUGAGCCGCGUGGCAAGCAAGAUUCUCGGGGCUGAGCCCUCGAUGAACAAGGAUUAGGCGAUUAACGCAGACCAAGCAAUUAACUAUGCUAUAAAGUUCAGGUUGUGCAUCGGUGAACGAACGUCUUAAGACGUCAAACGUCACGUGUCAAGCAAGAUUCGCCGGCUGAACCCUCGAUGAGCAAGGAUUAGGCGAUUAACACAGACCAAAAAAUUAACUAUGCUAUCAAUUUGAGGUUGUGCAUCGGUGAGCGAACGUCUUAAGACGUCAAAAGUCACGUGUCAAGCAAGAUUCGCGCCGUUGAACCCUCAAUGAGCAAGGAUUAGGUAAUUAACACAGACCAAGCAAUUAACUAUGCUAUCGAUUUUAGUUUGAGCAUCGGUGCUUAACGGUGAUCCUCAGGACAACGCGGGAAAAAAUACGUUCACGUUGAAUACGCUCGUUUCGGCUCUUUAUUCCCAUCAAAUGAUUUCCUCGUCUCGUUUUCUGUUUUCUCUGAAUUUAGUUCUUUGUGAUUAGACUUUGCUGGGUUUCCUGCAAGCGCUUUGCCAAACUUCUUCUUUACCUGUGUUCACCUUUCUUGAACUUUUGGCUGGACCAAGAAGGGACGGUCGUCGCAACCACAAGGCAGCUGCAUCAGCUUUCCUACUUUCGAAACGUUGGUCACUAAUUUGCACUAACUAUGAGUAAAGUGUUUUACAGUUGAUAAAGUAAUGCUAACGAAUUAAUGCUCCCCUUACCAACAUAUUUCGACUGUGUGUUUAGAUAAUUAUUCAAGAUUACCUUACAUCGACAUUAUAGUUACUAUUGAAGCAAUUCACUCCCUUGAUGUGACCAGCCGGGCGAUUUCUUUCUUCUAGUUUGUAGAUAUGCUAGUAGUUACUUUGUAUGUAAUAAGAAGCUGACUUACUUUUAUGUCCCUUUCCACCUUAUGUAGCAGAACACACUGGCUAAAAAGGUAGGCAGCGUUGCCGAAAGACUAGCACCAAACGACUGCUUAUAACAAAAGUGGGAUGCCGCGAGAUCACGCGUCAGUGGGAUAUAUCGCGUCUGUCAUUGGGAUAUGUCAUUCAUACUAGUUAAAACAAUGUCCCGGAUGUGGCUGGAUCUCCGUAAAUGCUGUUAGUUAUUUAUCCACAAGAUGGCUGAUGUUCCCCUGCGAAAGGGCAACAGAGAGAGAGAGAGAAGAUGGAAUCUUCUCGUGUGUCCUACUGCAUGUGAGAUAAAUGAAAUAGAAGUUUAUUUUUAUUUUAAUGUGUUAUCUUAUUGUGGGUGUCUCAUUUUGUUUAUUAAAUGGAAAAUAAAAUCUUUUUUCUGGCA
Long non-coding RNA from Orbicella faveolata, 3773 nucleotides. The record is from RefSeq and is a predicted model, not a curated record. NCBI's taxonomy places the organism in Eukaryota, Metazoa, Cnidaria, Anthozoa, Scleractinia, Merulinidae.